This 1090-nucleotide ribosomal RNA is filed under the name Cellulosimicrobium sp. BEE9H4. Its description in RNAcentral is "bacterial SSU rRNA". It matches the Rfam family "Bacterial small subunit ribosomal RNA", at positions 59 to 1162 of the family's 1533-position model. Lineage: Bacteria; Bacillati; Actinomycetota; Actinomycetes; Micrococcales; Promicromonosporaceae. The record is from RNAcentral.
CAGUCGACGAUGAUGCCCAGCUUGCUGGGUGGAUUAGUGGCGAACGGGUGAGUAACACGUGAGUAACCUGCCCUUGACUUCGGGAUAACUCCGGGAAACCGGGGCUAAUACCGGAUAUGAGCUACCUUCGCAUGGGGGUGGUUGGAAAGUUUUUCGGUCAAGGAUGGGCUCGCGGCCUAUCAGCUUGUUGGUGGGGUGAUGGCCUACCAAGGCGACGACGGGUAGCCGGCCUGAGAGGGCGACCGGCCACACUGGGACUGAGACACGGCCCAGACUCCUACGGGAGGCAGCAGUGGGGAAUAUUGCACAAUGGGCGAAAGCCUGAUGCAGCGACGCCGCGUGAGGGAUGAAGGCCUUCGGGUUGUAAACCUCUUUCAGCAGGGAAGAAGCGCAAGUGACGGUACCUGCAGAAGAAGCGCCGGCUAACUACGUGCCAGCAGCCGCGGUAAUACGUAGGGCGCAAGCGUUGUCCGGAAUUAUUGGGCGUAAAGAGCUCGUAGGCGGUUUGUCGCGUCUGGUGUGAAAACUCGAGGCUCAACCUCGAGCUUGCAUCGGGUACGGGCAGACUAGAGUGCGGUAGGGGAGACUGGAAUUCCUGGUGUAGCGGUGGAAUGCGCAGAUAUCAGGAGGAACACCGAUGGCGAAGGCAGGUCUCUGGGCCGCAACUGACGCUGAGGAGCGAAAGCAUGGGGAGCGAACAGGAUUAGAUACCCUGGUAGUCCAUGCCGUAAACGUUGGGCACUAGGUGUGGGGCUCAUUCCACGAGUUCCGUGCCGCAGCAAACGCAUUAAGUGCCCCGCCUGGGGAGUACGGCCGCAAGGCUAAAACUCAAAGGAAUUGACGGGGGCCCGCACAAGCGGCGGAGCAUGCGGAUUAAUUCGAUGCAACGCGAAGAACCUUACCAAGGCUUGACAUGCACGGGAAGCCACCAGAGAUGGUGGUCUCUUUGGACACUCGUGCACAGGUGGUGCAUGGUUGUCGUCAGCUCGUGUCGUGAGAUGUUGGGUUAAGUCCCGCAACGAGCGCAACCCUCGUCCCAUGUUGCCAGCGGGUUAUGCCGGGGACUCAUGGGGAAACUGCCGGGGUCAAC